Molecule: long non-coding RNA, 257 nt
Organism: Astyanax mexicanus (Mexican tetra)
Lineage: Eukaryota; Metazoa; Chordata; Actinopteri; Characiformes; Acestrorhamphidae
Exons: 3
Source: RefSeq, a predicted model, not a curated record
AUGGUUGAUGCUGUGCUGGUUAGAUUAGUAGGUUUUGGGGUUUGAUAACAGAUGGAUGGUGAUGUGCUGGUUAGAUUAGUAGGUUCUGGGGUUUGAUAACAGAUGGAUGAUGCUGUGCUGGUUAGAUUAGUAGGUUUUGGGGUUUGAUAACAGAUGGAUGGUGAUGUGCUGGUUAGAUUAGUAGGUUCUGUGGUUUGAUAACAGAUGGAUGGUGAUGUGCUGGUUAGAUUAGUAGGUUCUGGGGUUUGAUAACAGAU